This 332-nucleotide unclassified non-coding RNA is filed under the name uncultured Gammaproteobacteria bacterium. RNAcentral describes it as "partial 16S-23S ribosomal RNA intergenic spacer". The stretch from base 207 to 332 matches the Rfam family "Bacterial large subunit ribosomal RNA", at positions 1 to 124 of the family's 2925-position model. RNAcentral also lists the same sequence under 1 other name. The record is from RNAcentral. Lineage: Bacteria; Pseudomonadati; Pseudomonadota; Gammaproteobacteria.
CCUCCUUAACGAUAUUUCGGUUUUAAACGCCCACACGAGUAAUCAAAUAUAAAUAAAGAACAUAUUGAUAUGUAAAAUUUUUGGUAUGUAAUUUUCUAGUAUGUACAUUUAUGUACAUAUAAGAUCACUGCAAUUUAAUUAGAAAAGUAAUUAAUAUAUUUUAUUAAGUACUCUCAAAAAGCGAAUAACCUUUUUUAAGGUUAUAUGAUCAAGUAAAGGAAGAGCACAAGGCGGAUGCCUUGGCAGUAGAAGGCGAUGAAGGACGUAGUAACCUGCGAUAAGCUUCGGGGAGCUGGUAAACAAGCUUCGAUCCGGAGAUUUCCGAAUGGGGA